This 253-nucleotide ribosomal RNA is filed under the name uncultured bacterium. RNAcentral describes it as "partial 16S ribosomal RNA". It matches the Rfam family "Bacterial small subunit ribosomal RNA", at positions 524 to 776 of the family's 1533-position model. The record is from RNAcentral.
UACGUAGGGUGCAAGCGUUGUCCGGAAUUAUUGGGCGUAAAGCGCUCGUAGGCGGUCUGUCGCGUCGGAUGUGAAAAUCCAGGGCUCAACCCUGGACCUGCAUUCGAUACGGGCAGACUAGAGUUCGGUAGGGGAGACUGGAAUUCCUGGUGUAGCGGUGAAAUGCGCAGAUAUCAGGAGGAACACCGGUGGCGAAGGCGGGUCUCUGGGCCGAAACUGACGCUGAGGAGCGAAAGCGUGGGGAGCAAACAGG